This is an RNA transcript of Lates calcarifer (barramundi perch), 1040 nucleotides long. It is a transcript of the gene named serpin B6-like, with no coding region annotated. Lineage: Eukaryota; Metazoa; Chordata; Actinopteri; Centropomidae. The transcript has 4 exons. The record is from RefSeq and is a predicted model, not a curated record.
AGUCCUAAAAGUCAGAGCAGUGUCUAAACAGUCUGAGCUGUAAUGUGUGAAACUCUGUCGUACAGAUCCUAGAGAUGCCUUACAAAGGGAAGGAGCUCAGCAUGCUCAUCUUUCUACCUAAUGAGAUAGAGGAUGAUACCACCGGUCUGGAGAAGCUGGAGAAGCAGCUGACCUAUGAGAAAUUUGUGGAGUGGACUCGUCCAGACAUGAUGUCUGAGGUUGAGGUUGAUGUGAAGCUGCCUCAAUUCAAGUUGGAGGAGACGUAUGACCUGAAAGGCGUCCUGAAAAACAUGGGCAUGGUGGACGCUUUUGAUGACAAGAAGAGUGACUUCUCUGGCAUGUCUGGGACCAAAGACCUGAUUCUGUCAGAAGUCAUCCACAAGACUCAUGUGGAGGUGAACGAGGAGGGAACUGAGGCUGCUGCUGCCACUGGCGCUUGUGUCCGUCUUUUGUCAGGGCGUAUGUAUUUCAAUUUAGCCCACUUCAUCGCAGACCACCCCUUCCUCUUCUUCAUCCGACAUAACACCACCAUGAGCGUUCUGUUCGCCGGCCGAUUCUGCUCCCCUGUGUGAGCGCUGUGUCCCUCAGAGCAGUGUGACUCCACAGGUGGAGGUUACGUGGGAUGUAGCUACGCUCAAACAGUCCACAGCCCCUCUGCAUUGCUCUAGCUAUAAAUCACAUUUCCCCUCUCAGUUACUUUUACAAAGUGUAAAAUGUGGCUCUGCACAGUGCACCCUCACAUUUACAUCCAGGUGCUGCUGCCCUCAGUCUGUUGCUUGUGCUGAAUCCCAAACUUUUUCUGAUGAUUAUCUGUAUGUUUUGAAAUGGUCUUUGCUUGUAGGUGAGCAGAAAAUCCCUGUGUAUCUUUUUACUGUCUGAGAGAAGCUGCUGAGCUGUUGCACUUACACAUCUUUGAAAUGUAACUUUACCAUCCCAGUCAGUCGAACAUGGAGUUUCAUGUCAGUUAAUGAAUCUAAACUAUGGCUGCACUUUGUAUCCUCCUGCUUGCAUAACUGGAAUAAAGGAGUUUGGUUUGAAAA